This 3300-nucleotide long non-coding RNA is filed under the name Gossypium barbadense (sea-island cotton). Its description in RNAcentral is "long non-coding RNA (GBAR_LNC008678)". Lineage: Eukaryota; Viridiplantae; Streptophyta; Magnoliopsida; Malvales; Malvaceae. The record is from RNAcentral.
UUCACCCAACAACUAAUAAAUUUCUUUUUUCUCUCUCAAUUAUAAAAAAUUACAAAAUAAUCACUUUACCAUUCAAUUUUGUUUUUUUAUCAACUGAUUUUUUGGUGUUUUUGUUGUUACUUUAACUAGCUAGUGACUAAAAAAAAAAAGACAACUGAACAGUUAAGUGAUAAUUUUGUAACUUUUCCUAAUUUAGUUACCAAAGAAAAAAGGAAAACCAUAACUGAGUGAUCUCUACUUUAAUUUACCCAUUGGUUUUCUAUCUCAUGCUGCUACUUUAUUACAACAUCUACUAACCUUUUGUCUUUAAUUAUCAAUUGGUGAAGGUAAACAUUUUGACACAUACUUCAGAGGUAGCCUUAAGCGAUGAGCAGCUUGCCGCAAUGGAGAAGUUGAAAACGAAACACAAGGCACAGGAUGAAAAGGAACGUUUGGAAAGAGAGCGACUUAAAGAAGGCGUCGAUGAAUCGGAAGCCACCAAUUGGGGUGAUAAUAUACUAUAUGUUUCCAGUGGUGAGCUUAGAGGAGCUUCAAUUCCGGAACCCUUGACCAGCAGAAAGGAGACAGGUGGUGCACUGUGGGAUAUUUUUAGGAGGGAGGAUGUCCCUAAACUAGAAGCUUAUUUGAGAGAGCACUACACAGAAUUCAGGCAUACCUACUGCUCCCCAGUUGAAAAGGUAAGCCAUGGGGGAGCACUUUUAGAAUUAAAUCGACAAGCUUACUGCUGGGUACUUCUCAAAAGAAGUUUUUUAAAUCGUAAUAAUGCUAAACCCUUUGGCCAUCUGCAUUGAACGAAACACUCCUUUAAGAGGUAGUCACUCAACGUUCUUGAUGGUUGCGUUUAUGAUCAGGUAAUCCAUCCGAUUCAUGACCAAUCAUUUUACCUAACUGCGGAGCACAAAAGGAGACUAAAGGAGGAAUAUGGUUAGUACAAAGAAUGACAUUGAUAUCUAAUGUAAAAACUUUGCCUAUACCGUGUUUUUUUAUCUUUUUCCUCAUGCAAGUGUGUACGUGAUUCCUAGGAGUUGAACCGUGGACGUUUGAGCAAAAUCUCGGAGAGGCUGUUUUUAUUCCGGCUGGAUGUCCACACCAAGUUAGAAACCUGAAGGUAUUUAAUUAAUACAUACAUAAUCGUUCCAUGUUGUGCAACACAUGUUUAUGGUCUCUCAUAGCAAUGUUUUCCAGUCAUGCACCAAAGUCGCCUUGGACUUCGUUUCUCCAGAGAAUAUCCAGGAAUGCCUCCGUUUAACAGAGGAAUUCAGGCAACUACCCAAGAACCAUAGAGCCAGAGAAGACAAACUUGAGGUAGGCACAUCCUUUCGUUGAUGUUUUGACUUAUUUAUUUCCUUCAAAACCUUACUUGCAAACGAUUUCGUGUAAACAGAUAAGGAAAAUGAUUAUUUAUGCAGUAGAACGAGCUGUUAAAGAAUUAUCUGAACUGAUAUCAACUCCAAACUGAAGCACGCUUCUCCAACUGCAACCGUGGAACUGACCUUUUUGUAUUCGCUCGGACAAUUGUCAGAGAUAUCCGGGCUGGGAAUUUCUUUACUUUUCCCCGGGGUAUAGCUUGACCUUUUUGUAUGCAACUUCAUUUGGAAUUGUUAGAGACCAUCCGGGAUGGGAAUUUAUUUAUUUUUCCCCGGGGUCUAACUUGACCUUUUUGUAUGCAACUUUUGGAGCACAUAGCUGUACUUGCUUACAAUAGAUACUAAUCAUUUUUACUAUUCCAUCUCUUAUAUAUUCUUCGUAGACCUGAUAAUAUAUUGUCAACAUGAAACGAUUACACAAAACAUAACAAAAAAAAAAUAAACACAAUAAGAAUUCGUGCAAUUUCAAAACAUGGUAAGACUAUGCUUGACACUAAAAAAUACGAAAUGAAAUAUGAAUUCACUAAUAGCUAAAUCUAUUAAGAUGAGCAAUCACAAACAAAAUAUUUUAUACCUUAGUUAUGCUACAUUUGCAGGUUGAGUCUAAGUUCGAUUAGUAUGAGCAUUGUUAUCAAUGUAGGAGACGUGAGUUCGAGAGCACUGAUGCAGGACUAUGGGUAAUUCUAAACAUUAUAUUCAAAAAGAGCAGAUAUGAUCAGAACUUAUAAUUAGACUAUUAAAAAAAAAGUUAUGCUGCAUUUAACAGAAGUAUUAUUUUUUUCAAAAUGUCCUAAUACAUAAGUCAAGGUUAGUAAAGAAUAGAACUAACUAUAAAUUAUAAAUGUAGUAAAAGUCACAGUCAAGGUGCUUACCAUUGGGUUGUUUACUGCCAGAUGCUUUUGCCAUCGUCUGCAAUCGACAAGCUUAACUGCCUCUGAAAUCUAUACUUUUAUUUAUUUAUUUAUUUUCAUUCGUAAAAUGUUGUCGUAUUGCUUAAAUAAAGAUGUCCAACCUCUGUUUUAAAAAAAUAAUUAAAACAAAAUUAUUAAAAAAAAAAGAAAACAACAAAACAUGAAUAUAUGUAUAUAUAUGUAUAGCCAAAUAUAGAAACAAAUAAUAGCAAGCAAAAGAUUCAACUACCUAAUAUCAUUGUUAACCAUUUAAAUUAGUUAAUGUGUUUUUCAUUUUCAAUCAAAGACAUGUAAAUUAUUAAAAAAAUUAGUUUCAUAUAUUUAAAUCAUAAAUAAAAAAAGUUUAAAAUAAUUUUUGAUGUUCUUCAAAAGAAUUAUGAGUGAUGGGUAAAAUGCAAAGAUAAAUCCUAUUGAUACUAAGAAUUUAUUAUGCAUUCAAAGUAAUAAGCAAACCCAAUCAACAAUCAAUCAAUAAACAAAAUAAAUGGAUGGACAAAAUUUCAUUGUAGAUCUAAACCUAAAAUCUAAAAUAUUAAAACCUACUCCAUUAGCAUUCAAACAAAGUGUUCAUCACAAACAACCAAAAACAAAUAAUACCUUUAAAAUUCCCCCCACAACAUGAGGUAUAUCUUACUUUUUCUUUGUAAAUUCAAAAAAGAAAUUGUACAAUUCUAAAUCAUACAAAUUAAAUCUUCUAACAGAGAAAUCAGAUGAAGAGAACUUGCCUUAUAACAGCUUCCCUAAAACCUCUUCAUAUUCCCUUCCAUUGAGAGAUCUAAUCCUUCCCACAUAAAAAACCAAUAGAGGUGUACACUUGGAGGCCUCUAUUUAUAGGUUAAUAAUUAGUUAGGGUUCCCAAAAGAAUAUUAAUGAAAUGACAAUAUUGCCCUUUUCUUUUAAAAUCUCCACAAGAAUAUCCCUGUUUGAAUUAGUAAUUUACUAAACUACUAUUAGAACUAAAUUUAGAAUUGAAUUCAAAUUCAAAUAAUUAUAGAAAUGUAUGUAUAAAUAUUAAAUUAAAU